GGUAAUUCCAGCUCCAAUAGCGUAUAUUAAAAUUGUUGCAGUUAAAAAGCUCGUAGUUGAAUUUCUGCUGCAUUGCUUGUGUCCCUCUGGGGUCUGUGCAUGUGGCUUUUUUCGGACGGAGUUUCUUUGUCUGAAUGUUUACUUUGAGAAAAUUAGAGUGCUCAAAGCAGGCUUUCGCCUUGAAUAGUUUAGCAUGGAAUAAUAAAGUAGGACUUUGGUUCUAUUUUGUUGGUUUUAGGUACCAAAGUAAUGGUUAAUAGGAACAGUUGGGGGCAUUCGUAUUUAACUGUCAGAGGUGAAAUUCUUAGAUUUGUUAAAGACGAACUACUGCGAAAGCAUUUGCCAAGGAUGUUUUCAUUAAUCAAGAACGAAAGUUAGGGGAUCGAAGACGAUCAGAUACCGUCGUAGUCCUAACCAUAAACUAUGCCGACUAGAGAUUGGAGGUCGUCAGUUUUUACGAC
RNAcentral lists this ribosomal RNA (461 nucleotides) under Theileria annulata. Its description in RNAcentral is "SSU rRNA". It matches the Rfam family "Eukaryotic small subunit ribosomal RNA", at positions 578 to 1077 of the family's 1831-position model. Lineage: Eukaryota; Apicomplexa; Aconoidasida; Piroplasmida; Theileriidae. The record is from RNAcentral.